UCCGAGCGCACCGUCCGUCCCGCUGAACGUUCCGCGGGUUUCACUCGAACGUUGAGAGAAAAUUUACCGAAAAGUCUGGAGAAACUGGAGAAGCUUCAGAUGGAGCUCUCAUCUCUACUUCAUGACCUUCAUCUCUCCUCCUCCUCCUCCUCAGAGAAGCCCCGCCCCUCUGCUGAUCUCCAUCCAAUCACAGAGCUCCUCCCUCAGCUGCAGGAGAAGCUGAUUGGUUCACCCUUUGACACCUGCUCCCUGAUUGGUCGAGUGGAGCAGCUGUUCCAGGCGGCAGAUCCUCAGUGGUUGUUCUCUCUGGGCUCAGCCAAUCAGGAGGGAGAGGGAGCGGAGCUUCAGGCAGCGUAUUGUUCCCUGAUCAGCGCUCUGAUUGGCUGUGCUGCUCUGCCGCUCUGUGAUGACGACUGCAGCCCUUUGAGUGCGGCGGCUUAUCAGAGCGUCCCGAUCCGCGCUGCCGCCGUCAGCUCCGCCCUCACAGCGCUGAUUGACAGCUGGGCCAGAGGGGGCGGGGCCAGAGGAGGCCUGCUGCUCGCUGUGGCUCCGCCCCUCUGCGUGUUCAGUGUCACACACUUCCAGGACCAGCUGUGGACUAGCUCCGCCUCCAGAGCUGCUGCUUGCCACCUGCAGGAGGCGCUGCUGAGGGCGGGGCAGUGGAGAGACUCCGCCCACCUGCUGAUUGGGGACCAGGAGAACCGAGGAAUUCUGGGAAAAGUUCUGGAUGUUCUGCAGCCUCAACUCAGCAAGGAGUCUCUCUUUCGCUGUGAAUCGGUGAAGUUCGUAUUUUCCUGGACACUGCUGCAGGUGACUCGCCCCGCCCUCUCCCCCCUCCUGCCCCACCUCCUGCCCCCCUCCCUCCUUCUCAGCGACCAUCACAGACCAGAGAACUGCAUGAUGGGAGUUCACUGCCUGCACCACAUCGUCCUCCACACGGCAGCUGCAGAUCUUCGUCAGUUCAACAGGUCAGAGGUUCUCUAUCAUUCUCUGUUCAGACUCUUGUUCACCACUGAGGCCGCCAUCGUCCAGCUGGUUCUGUCCUGCCUGCUGGACCUCCUGCUGGUCUUAGAGAAGCCCCCCACCUCGCUGGCCCCAUCCCUCCCCCGCAGGAAGUCCUGUUGCCAUGACGACGUGCUACGUCUGGUUCUGACCCACAUGGAGGCAGAACACAAGGUGGCGCUGCGACGCGUUUAUGCUGCCGCUCUGCCGCCAUUGGUCGACAGGGUGGGCGUGGCCAUCUGCAGACACCUGAGGCGGGUGGAGCGAGUGGUUCUGGGAUACCUGGAGAUCAGAGACCCACCUGAGGAGACGAGCCGACUGAAGAUCCUGGAAGUUCUGCAGAAGACCAUCAGAACCACCUGGCCCAGGAUGCAAAGUCGCAGUGACUCGUUGCUGCGUUGUUUGUUGUGGCUGCUGGUUGACGUUUCUUCAGAUUCUGAACUCAGCGACUCGACUCGACGUCAGCUGAUGGAUCAAACGUCCGUCUGCCUCCGGCUGCUGGAUGCCUGUUGCCAUGGAGACGUCCAGCGGCGCCUCCUGCAGGUCGACAGCAGUUGCUGCAGCGCCGAGGUUCUCCGCUGCCUGGAGACGGUAACCACGGCGACGGACCAGUGAUGGUGGCGGACUGACGGAGCAGGUCUGGUCCUCAUGGUGGUUCUGUCCGGUCCAGCAGAGUCUCCAGCUGCUCCAGUCUCUGUUUCAGAUGCGCUAAACUUCCCUCCGUCUUCAGACGUCUGAGGUUCUGCUGCUGAGUCCACAGACUGGAGCGAAGACGAGCCUGAAGACAAACAGAACCUUAGAGUUCUACAGAACCAGGAUCUGGUUUCUGUUGUUCUGAUCUGAAUCAUUCUACAGCCGAACCAGAAGCUGUGAUGUUCCGUUAAACUCCCGGUUUAGUUAACGGAGAUAGAAGCUGCUAAACAACGAGCUAACAGAGAACCAAGCUAAAGAUACGAUGAUGUCAUGGUUCACCUGCUCUGUUAGCACGGUGGCUAGCUGUUAGCGGCUCCAUGGUUGUUCUGUUUCAUGUUGAGUUCAGUUUGUGUUUCUUAGAAAAACUCAAAAUCACAAAACAACUAAAGAAGAACCCAACUGACAGAAAGUUGAUGGAACCAGAACCAGAACCAUCAGUGGAGUUAAACAGCUAGUUACCUGUUCAGCUCCACCGUCCAGCUCUGCUCCUGAAAAACAGAAAAAACCACAACAUUCAUCGUUUAACGUCCUGAAACAGAGAAGAGACUAAUUUAUCUGAUUUAAUAUUACAUCAUACUACUGUAUGAAAGACAUGGUUACCAUGGAGACCUACAGUCAGAAACAUCAUCACACUAUUUCCUCCUCAUGGUUAAAUGUAAUCAGAUAACAGUGUAAAUGUCUGACCUCAGCACUGAAGGUUGACCUCAGUACACCUGUGGACAGGUAGAAAGACUCCUCCCCCUCCGAUGGCCCCUCCCCCUCGGAUAGGUCCUCCCCGUCAUCCUGGAAACACAUUAAAGGUUUGAAUAUAGCAAAUUUUUUCUUUCAGUCCACUCUUCGGACGACAAAAGAACUUUGGCACCUCCAAAUAUCUUUAUAAACUAGAACAUUAAUGACAAACUGACGUUUUGUUGAAAUUUUGAACAACAUGCUAAACUUUGACUUUUUUCACAUUUUGAACAACAUACUAAACUGACUUUUUUUGUAAUUUCAGAGGACAUACUAAACUGACAUUUUUGUGUAAUUUCGGACGACAUACUAAACUAUGACUUUUUUUCACAUUUUGGAUGACGUUAUUUUCAAAUUUUUAAUGACAUUUUAAACUAUGACGUCUUUGUGUCAUUUCAGACGACAUUUUUUUCAUUUUUUGAAAUACGAUUACUUACAUACGAAACUGAUGUUUUUUUCAAAUUUUUAAUAACAUACUAAACUAUGACGUUUUUGUGUCAUGUCAGACGACAUACUAAACUAUGAUUUUUUUUUCAAAUUUUGAACGACAUACGAAACUGAUGAUUUUUUCAUUUUUUGAACGACAUACGAAACUAUGACUUUUUUUAAAAUUUUGAACGACAUACUAAACUAUGACGUUUUUUCAUUUUUUUAUUUUUAAAGUAAUUUUUUUGGACUUUUUCGGCUUCAUUUGAUCGGCGCAGUAAGAGACAGACAGGAAAUGGGGAAGAAGAGUGGGGGGAAGACAUGCAGCAAAGGACCCGGAGCGGGAAUCGAACCCGGGCCGCUGCUUUGGGGACCAGCCUCUGUACAUGGGUCACCCACUUAACCCGCUGAGCUAUACGGGCACCUGUUGUUUUCAAAUUUUUUGUAGCAUUUUGGACGACAUACUAAACUACGACUUUUUUUCGAAUUCUGAAUGACAUACUAAGGUGUAUAGUAUAGUGUUGUUUUCUGUGAUGUGUGUGUGUCGAAUAUUCAAAUAGAGCUGCGCUGCACCACCGCCAGGAUUGGACGACAGGAGGUGGGGUUGGCGCAGGAUUGGUUGGGCUGCCGAGGAAAACCAGGAUGACGUUGCCUCUGGGUCAGAGAGGGACAGAUCAGCGGGCCAUCCUCCAUGCUGUCCAGACCGGCACAUAUCCAGCACAAUUUGUUUGUUGUAUAGCAGAACAAGAUACUGUAGUGAGCUGCUACUUUUUGUUUUAUUCAUGUUCACCUGUUUGAGUUAGAGAGGGAGGGAAGACUUUGUAUUUAAUUUUGUCCUUUUAUUUUGAUAGGUAAGUCGACCUCCUAAGGACUAGUGUGGUUUUGUUUAUUAUUUUUGGCGUAAAGCUCACCCCUAAUUCAUUUACACCUUGCCUUCGACUUGUUUUUGUUAACCUCCACCUUUGCUUUUUCGAUACACAUUUAAUGUGAAUUCUUUGAGAAAACGCUGUGUGUGCUGCUUCAGACACAUGUAGUAAGGCACUUCAUGUUGCGUUCAGUAACCCCUAGGCUGGGCGUAACAGUGACAUGUUUGAUUACAUACUUCACUAUGAUGUUUUUACAUACUAUACUGUGAAAUUUUAUGCAUAUUUUGCUAUGACUUUUUUUACUAUGGCCUAAUAUACAAUGAGAUAUUUGUUUCCUGUGAAAAUCGAUUUUACAACAUGUAAAGGACUUUGGUCAAAAUUGAUUGUUUAGCAUGUGAAAUGCAUAUCUGAAAUGCAUAAAAAAAAACUUAACUUAAA
Molecule: RNA transcript, 4154 nt
Organism: Amphiprion ocellaris (clown anemonefish)
Lineage: Eukaryota; Metazoa; Chordata; Actinopteri; Pomacentridae
Gene: tti2
Gene name: TELO2 interacting protein 2
Exons: 12
Source: RefSeq, a predicted model, not a curated record